UUGAAGAUCUGCCUUAGUCUGAG
RNAcentral lists this unclassified non-coding RNA (23 nucleotides) under Mus musculus (house mouse). RNAcentral describes it as "oocyte_clustered_small_RNA7519". Lineage: Eukaryota; Metazoa; Chordata; Mammalia; Rodentia; Muridae. The record is from RNAcentral.